RNAcentral lists this ribosomal RNA (304 nucleotides) under uncultured bacterium. Its description in RNAcentral is "partial 16S ribosomal RNA". It matches the Rfam family "Bacterial small subunit ribosomal RNA", at positions 506 to 808 of the family's 1533-position model. The record is from RNAcentral.
CAGCAGCCGCCGCGGUAAUACGGAGGGUGCAAGCGUUACUCGGAAUCACUGGGCGUAAAGGACGCGUAGGCGGAUUAUCAAGUCUCUUGUGAAAUCUAACGGCCUAACCGUUAAACUGCUUGGGAAACUGAUAAUCUAGAGUAAGGGAGAGGCAGAUGGAAUUCUUGGUGUAGGGGUAAAAUCCGUAGAUAUCAAGAAGAAUACCUAUUGCGAAGGCGAUCUGCUGAACUUAACUGACGCUAAUGCGUGAAAGCGUGGGGAGCAAACAGGAUUAGAUACCCCCGUAGUCCCUGUCUCUUAUACA